CGGAGUGUAGCGCAGCCUGGUAGCGCACCUGAUUUGGGAUCAGGGGGUCGCAGGUUCAAAUCCUGCCACUCCGACCA
This 77-nucleotide transfer RNA is filed under the name Mycolicibacterium aubagnense. RNAcentral's name for it is "tRNA-Pro(tgg)". It matches the Rfam family "tRNA". From Rfam's summary of the family: Transfer RNA (tRNA) molecules are approximately 80 nucleotides in length. The record is from RNAcentral. RNAcentral also lists the same sequence under 9 other names. Lineage: Bacteria; Bacillati; Actinomycetota; Actinomycetes; Mycobacteriales; Mycobacteriaceae.